CUGACUAACCCAACACCUUAUUGAGACUUGUUGAUCAGCCUGACUAACCCAACACCUUAUUGAGACUUGCUGAUCAGUCUGACUAACCCAACACCUUAUUGAGACUUGUUGAUCCCAACACCUUAUUGAGACUUGUUGAUCCCAACACCUUAUUGAGACUUUCUGAUCAGUCUGACUAACCCAACACCUUAUUGAGACUUGUUGAUCAGCCUGACUAACCCAACACCUUAUUGAGACUUGCUGAUCAGUCUGACUAACCCAACACCUUAUUGAGACUUGUUGAUCCCAACACCUUAUUGAGACUUGUUGAUCCCAACACCUUAUUGAGACUUGCUGAUCAGCCUGACUAACCCAAUAGCGUAUGGCUCCAGAGGUUCAAUAAUAUAAUAACACCUACUAACCAACAGAUAAAGUGCCAACAAGGAAAAAGUUGUCUCUGCUCAACGCAGAAGGCUACAGUCAAAUUAUCCUAUAUUUGGCCCAAAUGGCACCCUAUUCCCUAUAAAGUGCACUACUUUUGAACAGAGCACUAUGGGACCUGGUCAAAAGUAGUGCACUAUGUAGGGAAUAGGGUGCCAUUUGGGAUUUAACCAGAAGGAUAUAACAAUGUGUAUUACAUUCAUUUAAAUAAAGCAAGCCAGCCAGGUCUCUCCCUAGGCUAGUUACAGGUUACAGACAACAUGUCUCUCCCCAGGCUAGUUACAGGUUACAGACAACAUGUCUCUCCCCAGGCUAGUUACAGGUUACAGACAACAUGUCUCUCCCCAGGCUAGUUACAGGUUACAGACAACAUGUCUCUCCCUAGGCUAGUUACAGGUUACAGACAACAUGUCUCUCCCCAGGCUAGUUACAGGUUACAGACAACAUGUCUCUCCCUAGGCUAGUUACAGGUUACAGACAACAUGUCUCUCCCUAGGCUAGUUACAGGUUACAGACAACAUGUCUCUCCCUAGGCUAGUUACAGGUUACAGACAACAUGUCUCUCCCUAGGCUAGUUACAGGUUACAGACAACAUGUCCCUCCCCAGGCUAGUUACAGGUUACAGACAACAUGUCUCUCCCUAGGCUAGAUACAGGUUACAGACAACAUGUCUCUCCCUAGGCUAGUUACAGGUUACAGACAACAUGUCUCUCCCCAGGCUAGUUACAGGUUACAGACAACAUGUCUCUCCCCAGGCUAGUUACAGGUUACAGACAACAUGUCUCUCCCUAGGCUAGAUACAGGUUACAGACAACAUGUCUCUCCCCAGGCUAGUUACAGUUUACAGACAACAUGUCUCUCCCUAGGCUAGUUACAGGUUACAGACAACAUGUCUCUCACUAGGCUAGUUACAGGUUACAGACAACAUGUCUCUCACUAGGCUAGUUACAGGUUACAGACAACAUGUCUCUCCCUAGGCUAGUUACAGGUUACAGACAACAUGUCUCUCCCCAGGCUAGUUAUAGGUUACAGACAACAUGUCUCUCCCCAGGCUAGUUACAGGUUACAGACAACAUGUCUCUCCCCAGGCUAGUUACAGGUUACAGACAACAUGUCUCUCCCCAGGCUAGUUACAGGUUACAGACAACAUGUCUCUCCCAGGCUAGUUACAGGUUACAGACAACAUGUCUCUCCCCAGGCUAGUUACAGGUUACAGACAACAUGUCUCUCCCUAGGCUAGUUACAGGUUACAGACAACAUGUCUCUCCCUAGGCUAGUUACAGGUUACAGACAACAUGUCUCUCCCCAGGCUAGUUACAGGUUACAGACAACAUGUCUCUCCCCAGGCUAGUUACAGGUUACAGACAACAUGUCUCUCCCCAAGCUAGUUAUAGGUUACAGACAACAUGUCUCUCCCUAGGCUAGUUACAGGUUACAGACAACAUGUCUCUCCCUAGGCUAGUUACAGGUUACAGACAACAUGUCUCUCCCCAGGCUAGUUAUAGGUUACAGACAACAUGUCUCUCCCCAGGCUAGUUAUAGGUUACAGACAUGUCUCUCACUAGGCUAGUUACAGGUUACAGACAACAGACUGCCACACAGGGCUUGGGUCAAGAGAAGUGUGGUGUAGGAUGCCGUUUGAGGUGUGGCACUAUGGAAAGCAGCAUCUGGGAGGUCAAGGGUCAAAGGCCACCCAGGCAGAGGUCAAGGGUGGGUGACCUCACUCUCUUUACCACUACUCAACGUAGAGGGGGGCGGGAUCUGACUGAUGGGACAGGUUUCUCCAGCUGACGUCUGUGAUUGGACAGAUAUCCAUUCACUCACUCCCUGUGGGGAUAACAUUGCACUGUCUGUCAAAUAAAUAUUCAACCAUAGUCCACCCGGUUCUAUUGGAGAUAAAAGAUCAGAACAUUCCGGUUACAUUGGAUAGAACAAAUUAGAAUAUUCUGAUUCUUUCCUCUGAUGGCAAUAAAGGCAAUCUGGGGCAGAGAAAAAACAAAAAGGACUCUUUUAUAGUCUCUUAACAGAGUACACUUUCAAAAGCACAAAAUGCCCAUUUAGAAUAAAAUAUUCAAAAAAAAUCCUAGGUGGUAUUCUGAGUCUGUUUGAGAGAGGAGAGCAGAUCAGAUGGCCUUCUGACUGAACUUCUGACUUCCCAGCAAACCGGAGCGGACAAAUUCUGCAAGAAUCCAGACACCCGUUUAAAGGAUAGUUGAACAAACAGAGUUUGGGAGAAACAGUAAGAGUUGUUGGAAGGGAUUUGUCCUGGAGAAGUCUUUAGUUAAGGGAGGGAGGGAUGGUGGUAGGAGUAACAGCAGUAAGAGUUGUUGGAAG
Molecule: long non-coding RNA, 2754 nt
Filed under: Salmo salar (Atlantic salmon)
Lineage: Eukaryota; Metazoa; Chordata; Actinopteri; Salmoniformes; Salmonidae
Description: lncRNA (ENSSSAG00000099424.1, ENSSSAG00000113323.1)
Source: RNAcentral